RNAcentral lists this RNase P RNA (377 nucleotides) under Streptococcus timonensis. RNAcentral describes it as "Bacterial RNase P class B". It matches the Rfam family "Bacterial RNase P class B". Rfam says of the family: Ribonuclease P (RNase P) is a ubiquitous endoribonuclease, found in archaea, bacteria and eukarya as well as chloroplasts and mitochondria. Its best characterised activity is the generation of mature 5'-ends of tRNAs by cleaving the 5'-leader elements of precursor-tRNAs. Cellular RNase Ps are ribonucleoproteins. Lineage: Bacteria; Bacillati; Bacillota; Bacilli; Lactobacillales; Streptococcaceae. The record is from RNAcentral.
UUUUGGAUAAUCGCGUGGAGAGUUUAUCUUUUCAUGAGGAAAGUCCAUGCUAGCACAGGCUGUGAUGCCUGUAGUGUUUGUGCUAGGCGAAACCAUAAGCCUAGGGACGAGAAAUCGUUACGGCGAGUGAAUAGACUAAGUUUUCGGAUAUGUUUUAGUAGCUCUGAAAGUGCCACAGUGACGAAGUCUUCUUGGAAACAGGAAGAGUGGAACGCGGUAAACCCCUCAAGCUAGCAACCCAAAUUUUGGUCGGGGCAUGGAGUACGCGGAAACGAACGUAGUACUCUGACUGCUAUCUGUAGAUACAGCUAGUGGUAGACAGAUGAUUAUCGAAGGAAAUGAUCCUAGUCAUUUCUGGAACAAAACAUGGCUUAUAG